CACAACGACUCUCGGCAACGGAUAUCUCGGCUCUUGCAUCGAUGAAGAACGUAGCGAAAUGCGAUACUUGGUGUGAAUUGCAGAAUCCCGUGAACCAUCGAGUCUUUGAACGCAAGUUGCGCCCGAAGCCAUUAGGCCGAGGGCACGCCUGCCUGGGUGUCACA
RNAcentral lists this ribosomal RNA (164 nucleotides) under Ladeania juncea. RNAcentral describes it as "5.8S ribosomal RNA". It matches the Rfam family "5.8S ribosomal RNA". From Rfam's summary of the family: 5.8S ribosomal RNA (5.8S rRNA) is a component of the large subunit of the eukaryotic ribosome. It is transcribed by RNA polymerase I as part of the 45S precursor that also contains 18S and 28S rRNA. The record is from RNAcentral. Lineage: Eukaryota; Viridiplantae; Streptophyta; Magnoliopsida; Fabales; Fabaceae.